AGAACGAACGCUGGCGGCAGGCUUAACACAUGCAAGUCGAACGCUCGUAGCAAUACGGGAGUGGCAGACGGGUGAGUAACGCGUGGGAACCUUCCCUGUGGUACGGAAUAACUUCGGGAAACCGAAGCUAAUACCGUAUAUCUCCUCCGGGAGAAAGAUUUAUCGCCAUAGGAUGGGCCCGCGUUGGAUUAGCUAGUUGGUGAGGUAACGGCUCACCAAGGCAACGAUCCAUAGCUGGUCUGAGAGGAUGAUCAGCCACACUGGGACUGAGACACGGCCCAGACUCCUACGGGAGGCAGCAGUGGGGAAUAUUGGACAAUGGGCGCAAGCCUGAUCCAGCCAUGCCGCGUGAGUGAAGAAGGCCUUAGGGUUGUAAAGCUCUUUUGGCGGGGACGAUAAUGACGGUACCGCAGAAUAAGCCCCGGCUAACUUCGUGCCAGCAGCCGC
Molecule: ribosomal RNA, 447 nt
Filed under: uncultured bacterium
Lineage: Bacteria
Description: SSU rRNA
Rfam family: Bacterial small subunit ribosomal RNA
Source: RNAcentral